UGACGUGUUUAAAACAAAAUCAGCGUGUUGUGUAUCCUCUAUACCCUCUUAGU
RNAcentral lists this small RNA (53 nucleotides) under Arabidopsis thaliana (thale cress). RNAcentral's name for it is "ATSL168060". Lineage: Eukaryota; Viridiplantae; Streptophyta; Magnoliopsida; Brassicales; Brassicaceae. The record is from RNAcentral.